Molecule: long non-coding RNA, 2464 nt
Organism: Schistocerca piceifrons (Central American locust)
Lineage: Eukaryota; Metazoa; Arthropoda; Insecta; Orthoptera; Acrididae
Exons: 2
Source: RefSeq, a predicted model, not a curated record
UCGAAAGUACCACUUCUUACUCCGGAUUAUGAUUCUAUAUCUGCCAAUGAGACUUUUUAGAAGAUCCACUUCUCCCAUAUGCUUGUUAUAAAUUUGAACAAUUUUUAGACAAGAUACAAAAGUAUGUUCCUUCCUACGUCUGUCAUAUCUCUUUACAUUGCUUACAGGGUCACUUCCUACAGAUGUGGAUAACAACAUGACUGUCUUGUUGUCCUGCCAGACUACAUUUGAGAUCUCCGUUCCUUCAUAAUUUCCAAUAAAUUCAAGUAUUUUACCCCUUUCCUCUUUACUCAGGGACUUGUCGUCUGGGAAUUUCUUAUUGUGAACUCUAUUUGUGCUAACAGUUCCUAGAGAUAAAAUGCCUCUUCCCUUCAAAUAAUGCAUUAGCGGUAUUGAUAUGUAAUAAUUAUCAAAGUAAAUUUUGUCAUUUACAUUCUCUGAUACAUUCCAGCAUAAUCUAGCAACCACAUUGCUGCUGGCACCAAGAUCCAGCUCUGCAUCAUUCUUGUCCCAUUCAUGUUCAUGUCCUGUACACAUCUCCAUUUUGUAAGCAUACCCAGAUACACCAAAAAGUAAAAACAGUUUAUAGUCACAUUUAUGGGGUUUAUCUGGCAUGUACAUUUUGAGAUGGUGCCUGGCUUUGGUAGCACACAUCUACAGUUAAUCACUCCUCCAUUGGAACUGAAUCAAGUUUUUCAUUCAGGUGCAUAAAAAUAGGUCUUAUCUUUUGGAGCUUGUCUACUCCAUUAGUAUUUGCUAAAUUGUCUUGAAAGUGUAAGAAGCACCUCACUUGCUCAAAUUUAUUGACAGUAAUAUUAUCCUGUACAACUGAUGGGCCUGCCCACAAUGUUAUUCCAAUAUAUCCUCACAUUCUUCAGUGGUACAACAGAAGAGUGGAUACAAACACCUAAAAACUUUAGAAUAUCUUCUACAGUAACAUUGCUGGGCUUCGACAAAUUCAUCUGGGUACUAUAAAGCGUAGAUUCACGUGAAAUCAACUCCUAAAUAUUUUCAUUGAAAAAAAUACGAAAAGAAUUCAUAUGGAGUUUCCUUUGCUAAUAGCUCAUAUAGUAAAGCUUCUUUUCCAAGAAAAGGUUGCUCUACAUACUUCAUCUCUCCUUCCUUCAACAACACAUCUCGCAUUUCUUCAUCUGUGAUGUAUUUUUCUUACCUUGCGCAGAUAUUGCAGCAGAACUGUCUCUCGUAAUUGAAGGUGUAGUUCCAGCUGCAACUACCGAGGUGUCUGCAUUGGUUGACUGCCCAGCUCAAUCAGAAUCAUUUGAAGUCACAUUAGAUUCAAUAAGGUUAACAGUUUCACUGUAUGAUUUCACGAAUUUAUCGCUGGUGUCACAUAUUUCAUCUUCAUCACCACUGUCAUCUUCACUUUCACUCAGAACUGGUAUUGAAAACCAACUUUCUCCUGUCAACUCCUUUAAUCGUCCAUGGUCAUCCACAAAAUAAACUUUUUCAGGAUUCAUGAUACUCAAUCUGAUAAAAGAAAGAACAUCAAUUCACUGAAAUUGCAGAAACUUCAUGAGUGCUGCUGGCAAGCUUUCUAAGCAAGUACUCGACAAGGCUAUGACUGAAUGCAUAGUGUUGCCAAGCGGCAACACGUAAUUUCCUUUACACAGAAACUUACUUUUAAGGAAAAAUUAGUGUUUAACAUGUUCUCUCCUACUAUCAGAUCUCUGUAACAUGAUAAAAUUUUUUUACUUGACAGAAGUUAUGUCAGUUUAUAAUUACAUUAGGCAAUUUAAUGAGUAACAGUGAGUAAAAUUCACUGGAGCGCUGUUUGUUGCAUUUCUCCUCAAUUCAAGACCGUGCUGCCAUGUGUGGAGGAAACGAUCAACUAAAUCCUUAGAAGUUGAGCAUCCCUCAUUUCACUAGCUUUAGACGCCUGUUAGAAUAGACUCCCAUGUAUACAAUAUGCUUGGUGUUGCCAUCUCGCAACAAGAAGUAUGACCGAAAAACGAAACGAAAAUUAGCAUUGCCAAACAGCAAUACCACACAGUGUAAGAUGAAGUUUCUUUCAGUGCGUCUAUGUGGGUUAUUUGUGUUUACGGUGUAUUCUCUUAAGAAAUGGCUUCAGUAUUUAAGUUGCAAUCAUCGGAACCUUUUGUUGGUCAGAAAUUGUGUAGUAACUGUAUUUUAACUUCAGUACCGCUCAAAUAUUAGGUUUCAGUAACAUGUUCCUGCCCGUCAUCUCCAUACUAAUAGUAUAGAGAUCACUGGUUCCUGCACACUUGAAAACGUUUGAAUGUUCAAAAUUACAUCUGUGACCAUAUGUUUCUGAAGUGGAAGUCCAAAGAAGAGACGACUCUGUGAAGCAGCUUUUUGUGUGGUUUAUGGUUUAUAAGCCUACUGGAAAACUCGCCAUGUAAGACAAACGAGUAAUUUCUCAAGCAUGGUACCUCUAUGGUGAUGUGGUAAUCCGAGCAUUGUUAAUAAAGAAAUUAAAUUCAGA